RNAcentral lists this ribosomal RNA (1893 nucleotides) under Polycyathus sp. MFL-2011. RNAcentral's name for it is "16S ribosomal RNA". It matches the Rfam family "Bacterial large subunit ribosomal RNA". The record is from RNAcentral. Lineage: Eukaryota; Metazoa; Cnidaria; Anthozoa; Scleractinia; Caryophylliidae.
UUAAUUUUUGAAAAUGAAAAAAAAAAGAGAAAGACUAAAAUAAAUUGAGAUUGGACGAAAUAUUUUUCGAAAUGGCGGAAAGGCGCUUUAUUUGUUAUUUCUACGGAAAAUCGAGAUAAAAACUUGAAUUGAAACAUCUUAAUAUUAAGUAAAAAUCAAACGAGAUUUCGAAAGUAGUGGAGAGCGAAAUUGGAGUAGUAUAAAAGGGUGAUUAGAGAUCUAGACUAAACGUUAGUUUAUAUUAAUAGUGAGAGUACUGUAAAGGAAAGUUGAGAGAGAGUUGAAAAGAUCCAGAAUCUUUUUUUUUAAGCAGUUUUAAAAUAACGUACCUUUUGUAUAAUGGGUAAAAGAGAUUAAUUUGGUAUAUUUAAAAAAAAGGAAAGUUUAAAGAAAUUUUUUUAAUCAAAAUAACCCGAAACCAAGUGAUUUAAUCAUGAAUAAUUAAUAAGAAUGAACUGGUGAUUGUGGCAAAACUCUCAGAAAAUUUGUGGUUAGGGGUGAAAAACUAAUCGAACUUGGAGAUAGCUGGUUUUUUGCGAAAACUAUUUAAGUAGUGUGCUUUUUUUUUAUUUUUUUUUGUAAUAAAAUAAAUAAUAAAAAAGAAAGAAGUAGACAAACAAAAAAUGAAAAGAUUUUUUGUUAAAAGAGAAAGCUCUAAUUAGAAGUUAAAGUUAUUUUUUUUUUUUAGUAUAAAAAACUUGUUAAUUUAGACGAUGAAAAAGUAGGCUUGGAGCCAGCCCUCUUUUAAAAAAUGCGUAAUAGUUUAUUUUAUAAAUUAAUUUUUUUUUUAAUUUCGGUGAUUAAAACAAAACUAAAACUCUAAAAAUAUAAAAUUAUUUAGUAGCAAAAUAUACUGUUUUUCAGUAGUAAUAAUUUUUACAUGAGUAAUCUAAUUUUUAAUUUUUUUUUCUUUUUAUUACCAUUUUUGGGUGAUACAGGCCUUAAGAAAAAUUUUUUAUGGGUGUUUUUAAGAAGAUGUUUUAUCUGGAAAAAAUAAAAAAGGGAACUGUUUUUUAACUAAAAAAAGAAAAAGAAAGAGAUUCAUUUUUUUAAGGAACUUGGCAAAAAAGAACUUUGACUGUUUACUAAAAACAUAGCUUUUUGAUUAAAUUAUAAAAGGUGAAACCUGCCCUAUGGUUGUAUCUAAAAAAAUUUGUUUUGCUUAUUAAUAAAGACAAUUAAAUGGCCGCGGUAACACUAACUGUGAAAAUGUAGCAUAAUAAAUUGUCAAUUAAUUGUUGACUGGUAUGAAUGGUAUCACGAAAGUUUUUCUGUCUUAAAAAAAUACUUAAUGAAAUUGAAUUUGUAGUGAAGAUGCUACAUUAUAAUUGUAAGACGAGAAGUCCCCAUGGAGCUUUACUGAAAACUUAAGAUUUUCUAUAAGUAGGACAGUUUUGUUGGGGCGACAGUUUUUUAAAAAGUAACGAAAAUGAACUAUGGUAGAAAGCUUCACUCUGAAAGAUUUUUUAAGAGACAUUUUUUAGUGUGUUUUAUGAUCCGUUGUUUGGAAUGAAAAAAAUAACGAAAACAAAUAAAAGUUACCCUGGGGAUAACAGCGCAAUAAUGUUUGAGAGUAAAUUAAUGACGGUGUUUGCGACCUCGAUGUUGAAUUGCAGCGUCCUAGGGAGUAGUCACUCCUAAGGGUUGGUUUGUUCAUCCAUUAAAGCUGUACAUGAUUUGAGUUAAAAGCGUGGUAACACAGCUUGGUUUCUAUCUACAAUUAUAAAACAAAGAUAUUUUGUUUUUUAGUACGAAAGGAUCAUAAAUCAAUAGUUCUCUAAAAAUAACUCUUCUUUAAAUUAAGAUUGCUUCUAAAAAAAAAAGAAAUAUUUUUUGUUUGUUUUUGUUUUUUAUUUUUAAAAAAUAAAAUAUAUGUAUUUUUUAAUUUUAUUU